GCCCUCGUAGCACAGUGGUAGUGGUAAGUUAUACGUCCUACAGAUCGAUGUUCCCGAAUCUUCCUAACAUGGCAUAGCGUGUCACUCGUAAUGACAAGGUCGUCUGUUCGAUCCAGGCCGCGGGCA
Molecule: transfer RNA, 126 nt
Filed under: Metarhizium rileyi
Lineage: Eukaryota; Fungi; Ascomycota; Sordariomycetes; Hypocreales; Clavicipitaceae
Description: tRNA-Ser
Source: RNAcentral